GCAGCUCAGUGGUCAACCACUUGCUUCAGGUGCAAGAAGUCCCAGGUUCAAUUUCUGGCAUCUCCA
Molecule: non-coding RNA, 66 nt
Organism: Podarcis lilfordi (Lilford's wall lizard)
Lineage: Eukaryota; Metazoa; Chordata; Lepidosauria; Squamata; Lacertidae
Source: the annotation of a GenBank genome assembly